Molecule: ribosomal RNA, 180 nt
Filed under: Escherichia coli
Lineage: Bacteria; Pseudomonadati; Pseudomonadota; Gammaproteobacteria; Enterobacterales; Enterobacteriaceae
Description: partial 16S ribosomal RNA
Rfam family: Bacterial small subunit ribosomal RNA
Source: RNAcentral
UAACAGGAAGCAGCUUGCUGCUUCGCUGACGAGUGGCGGACGGGUGAGUAAUGUCUGGGAAACUGCCUGAUGGAGGGGGAUAACUACUGGAAACGGUAGCUAAUACCGCAUAACGUCGCAAGACCAAAGAGGGGGACCUUCGGGCCUCUUGCCAUCGGAUGUGCCCAGAUGGGAUUAGCU